GGGGUGGGGAGGGGAGAGGAGACUGUGGUCACACUAAAGGCAUCAGCUUGAAAACCGAAUUAGUGUGCUCGCAUACUCCCUUAAUUAAAAGAUAUUCACUUAAAAAACUGGAACAAAAAAACAAUAGUACUGUUUGUCUAUCUAAAUAGAAUUCUAGAAUUAAUAGACAGAAUGAAUCUAAUAUAACUCGAGAAAUCUAACAUUAAUUUUGACAUUUUUUUUUGCAGAAGAGAUCUUAGUCACGCAAUUUUACAUCUAAGAUCUUUGGUGCAGAAUUUCUCAAGUUAAAAAAUGUGCAUGAUUUGUCUCUUGUUGAAAGACAAUAAACACUUAAUUCAAGAAUCCCUACUGUUGACCAAUCACAGACAAGGUGUGUAAGGCUACCAACUUCGGCUUGCCGCGAGAAAAAAAUCCUGUGCGCACAAAGAGCCAAAAAAACAACAACUCUUGACCGAAGACUAAACCGAACGAAAAAGUUACAAAAUGUUGUCAUAAUAUAUACACAAACUGUUCUGAACUGUUUCGGAUGGGAAGCAUGAGGACGCCUUAAAGGGGAAUUUAGUUUUGUCACGGCAUCACUGCAACACCAAGCUAAUCUCUUUAAAUGUCUUUCAGACUAAUCUCUUUAAAGGUCUUUCAGACUAAUCUCCUUAAAGGUCUUUCAGACUAAUCUCUUUAAAGGUCUUUCAGACUAAUCUCUUUAAAGGUCUUUCAGACUAAUCUCCUUAAAGGUCUUUCAGACUAAUCUCUUUAAAGGUCUUUCAGACUAAUCUCUUUAAAGGUCUUUCAGACUAAUCUCUUUAAAGGUCUUUCAGACUAAUCUCCUUAAAGGUCUUUCAGACUAAUCUCUUUAAAGGUCUUUCAGACUAAUCUCUUUAAAGGUCUUUCAGACUAAUCUCUUUAAAGGUCUUUCAGACUAAUCUCCUUAAAGGUCUUUCAGACUAAUCUCUUUAAAGGUCUUUCAGACUAAUCUCUUUAAAGGUCUUUCAGACUAAUCUCUUUAAAGGUCUUUCAGACUAAUCUCUUUAAAGGUCUUUCAGACUAAUCUCUUUAAAGGUCUUUCAGACUAAUCUCUUUAAAAUUAAUCUCUUUAAAACUAAUCUCUUUAAAGGUCUUUCAGACUAAUCUCUUUAAAGGUCUUUCAGACUAAUCUCUUUAAAAUUAAUCUCUUUAAAACUAAUCUCUUUAAAGGUCUUUCAGACUAAUCUCUUUAAAGGUCUUUCAGACUAAUCUCUUUAAAACUAAUCUCUUUAAAGGUCUUUCAGACUAAUCUCUUUAAAGGUCUUUCAGACUAAUCUCUUUAAAGGUCUUUCAGACUAAUCUCAAUUAACCAAAAACCUCGUGAAAUUUGGUCAUAUUUUAUUUAUUUAACUAGGCAAGUCAAGUAAGAACAAUUCUUAUUUACAAUGACGGCCUACCAUAAGGCAAAAGGCCUCCUGCGGGGACGGGGGGUGGGAUUAAAUAUAGGACAAAACACACAUCAUGACAACAGAGCUAAACUACAUAAAGAGAGACCUAAAGACAACAACAUGGCAUGGCAGCAACACAUGACAACAACAUGGUAGCAACACAUGACAACCACAUGGCAGCAACACAUGACAACCACAUGGUAGCAACAACACAGUAGCAGCCCAAAACAGGGUACAAACAUUGUUGGGCACAGACAACAGUGCAAAGGGUAAGAAG
Long non-coding RNA from Oncorhynchus keta (chum salmon), 1686 nucleotides. RefSeq lists it as uncharacterized. The transcript is spliced from 6 exons. NCBI's taxonomy places the organism in Eukaryota, Metazoa, Chordata, Actinopteri, Salmoniformes, Salmonidae. The record is from RefSeq and is a predicted model, not a curated record.